Molecule: long non-coding RNA, 721 nt
Organism: Cephus cinctus (wheat stem sawfly)
Lineage: Eukaryota; Metazoa; Arthropoda; Insecta; Hymenoptera; Cephidae
Exons: 3
Source: RefSeq, a predicted model, not a curated record
AAUGUCAAUGCCAGCGAGCACGUGAGCCCGUCAAGGAAAUCGAUAACUUUCAGUGUCAAAGCUUCCCGUAGGAAUACAGAAGGGGGGUUGGAAGGAUUUCCGGGAUGCCGAAGCCGAGUAUGCCUGCCGAACCUAACCCUGGCCAUGCCCACGAAAUCUAAUGGCAACACAGUCUAAUCCGCAUCACGAGCCAAUAGAGGUACAGUAGGACGAGGAUCUAAGGAAGAAAAGGAGAAAGAAACAACGUGCUAUGGUCGUCGGAGCCAUUAGCUGGGUAAAUACGCCCUAAGGAUCUCGGAAAACCGCUACACUAGUAAAUUACCAGUCCGACACGAAAGACUCUCCUUUCUCCGUUCCUUUCGUCACGCUGGGUCCUGGCUUUUCCGUCGACGCCGAAGCCCGUAAUUUUUCCGUGAUGCGCAAAAGCAAAACCGAAAACCGAUUCUACGAGCAGGGCCACCACGGACUCUCCGGACAAGACCAGCCACUAUUGACUUCGCGUACAAGACGAUGGACCGGAUGGAAUCUGAAUUUAACAACAUACGGAUAUGGCGGCUUACGCAUCUUACGGAAAUAUCCGUAACUUCCCUGGUCUGCGGUUCGACCUCAUCCGGGUUCGAUUUUGAACAUGCGUACAUGAAAAGUGGAACCGCACAAUAUCACGAAAUAAAAUAUUGAUAAAAAAAUCAACCAGUCACGAGUCUAAGAUACAGUCGAAAAA